GCAAAUGGAUCCAAAAGUCUCGAUAAUAAUCUUAAUGACAUAAAGACUGACUUUUGGGCUGAUAUCAUGCUUUAACCCAUGGAAUUAAUAGUAAGAUAAUAGAGAGAGUAAGAAGAAUAGACCUUAAAGAAAGCAUUCUUCAAUUAGUAAGAAAAACACCAAUUUGUCUACAACAACGUCAAAUUUCGGCAACUCGUUCUUGAUCUAGGAAAUGGACAAUAACAAGAAACAUAGACCGAAACUAAAUUUUGGCAGCAGAAAAUGGGACGAUGACUCGACUGCACCUCAAAUCUCGAUGAUUAGAUUACUUUGAAUAUUUGAGCAACCAAACAGAUACAAGGCUUCAAAUCCAAAAUCUAGUUGAGAAUAUAGCAGCAAUUCAAACCCGGAAUCGCAAACUCAAAUCCCACUUGCAAUUCUCUCUCAACUCGAACUCAAGACAGCUAUCAAAUCAAACGAAUCCCCGUAAUUUAGAAAUCAGAAUCCAAAAAUUAAGGAUGAAGAAUCAGCGAUCUUUAAGAAGCUCAGAUUUUAAUAUUGAGUAAACUUCCAAAAAAAACUUGGAUUUUAGAUCACUCAUAUUGUUGGAAUAAGUGAUCGUUAGUUUUAGGAUAGGAGAAUUGUUGUGUUCAUUUGGUUCUUGAAAUGAAAUCUUUUUAUAUAUGCGAAAACCAACGUAUAAAGAGGGGAUUUUGAAAUGGCCCAAAUCUGGAGAUUUUGUGAUGGAGAGUUUUUCUUGUUUUGUUCUCGGAGGUGCAGUUGUAUCCCUCCUAUUUUUGUGAUUAGAUUUACUUUUGUAGGGAAUGAGAAUUAGGUUAGGUUAAA
This 825-nucleotide long non-coding RNA is filed under the name Nicotiana benthamiana. RNAcentral's name for it is "long non-coding RNA (NBEN_LNC031149)". Lineage: Eukaryota; Viridiplantae; Streptophyta; Magnoliopsida; Solanales; Solanaceae. The record is from RNAcentral.